RNAcentral lists this ribosomal RNA (253 nucleotides) under uncultured bacterium. Its description in RNAcentral is "partial 16S ribosomal RNA". It matches the Rfam family "Bacterial small subunit ribosomal RNA", at positions 524 to 776 of the family's 1533-position model. The record is from RNAcentral.
UACGGGGGGUGCGAGCGUUAUCCGGAUUUAUUGGGCGUAAAGCGCGCGUAGGCGGUUUUUUAAGUCUGAUGUGAAAGCCCACGGCUCAACCGUGGAGGGUCAUUGGAAACUGGAAAACUUGAGUGCAGAAGAGGAAAUUGGAAUUCCAUGUGUAGCGGUGAAAUGCGCAGAGAUAUGGAGGAACACCAGUGGCGAAGGCGACUUUCUGGUCUGUAACUGACGCUGAUGUGCGAAAGCGUGGGGAGCAAACAGG